Long non-coding RNA from Cimex lectularius (bed bug), 595 nucleotides. RefSeq lists it as uncharacterized. The record is from RefSeq and is a predicted model, not a curated record. The transcript has 2 exons. Lineage: Eukaryota; Metazoa; Arthropoda; Insecta; Hemiptera; Cimicidae.
UACAAUAAAAAAUAGACCAAUACAUAACAUGUUAACAAAGUUAGCCUGGUUUUGUUUGGAAAUUUGGAAAAAAUUUAUUAUGGAAUUUUUCCAAGAAAGCAAGGUUUGUAAAUUAUUAAGUAAAUUACAGUAGUUUGGUCAUUCCCGAUCAUUCUGGUCAGCCUAUCUUACCCAUAUUGAUCUGUCAGGCUCAUUUCCCCAUCUUCAUUUGAGGUUAGGAUAAGGAAGUUUGUUUAAGUAUUUUCUUACUUGAGAUGGUUACAAAUAAAUAGUGAUGACUGAGGAUAGGUCCGUUGAUAGUGGUGAAUUGUAUGGAUGGUUAAAAAUGGUAAAAGUGGAGUUUGUAGAAAACUAGAUAUUUUUUAAACUACAUCCACACAUAAUAAUUGAAGAUGGUGAAUAUGACAUACAAAAAUAGUAAGUACACAUGAUCAUAAAUUACCAAAUUUUCUAAUUUAAUACAAUUUAAAACAUCUUCAUGAACAGUUUUACACUAACGUGUUCGUAUCUACCUCCUUAGUGUUUUCCGGCGUCGUUGCUAAGAAAAGUCCAAAAAGACCGGAAUCAGAGUGAGAAAAGUUGACAGCCUGGGCGU